Molecule: long non-coding RNA, 1498 nt
Organism: Amphiprion ocellaris (clown anemonefish)
Lineage: Eukaryota; Metazoa; Chordata; Actinopteri; Pomacentridae
Source: Ensembl
GAGUCAGUGAGUGACCGGUGACUGGCUGCUGCAGCCAAUGAUGCGAUUCACAUACGUAUUUACCAUAGACUGUAUAUAAUAGGGGCUGCACAGUGGCGUAGUGGUUAGCACUUUGAGAAGGUCCCUGGUUCGCGUCACGGCUUUCCCGGGAUCUUUCUGCAUGGAGUUUGCAUGUUCUCCCUGUGCAUGCGUGGGUUUUCUCCGGGUACUCCGGCUUCCUCCCACAGUCCAAAAAUAUGCUGAGGUUAAUUGAUUACUCUAAAUUGCCCGUAGGUGUGAAUGUGUGAGUGCUUGUUUGUCUAUAUAUGUAGCCCUGCGACAGACUGGCGACCUGUCUAGGGUGUCCCCUGCCUUCGCCCGAGUCAGCUGGGAUAGGCUCCAGCCCCCCCCACAACCCUAGUGAGGAUUAAGCGGUGUAUAGAUAAUGGACGGAUGGAUGUAUAUAAUGGUAUUUACGCAGCUAAUCAACGUCAGGCGUCCUUAUGUGCAGCCAUCGUUGUUCUCAUAGAUAUGAAUGAGUAGAUAGGACACGCCCCUUUGAGCUGCGUGCUACAGCGAGGCUAAGCUAGUGGGGGCAAAGUUUCAGUGCAUUCCGUUGGUGUAGACGGCGUGAAAACGGAAACAAGAAGUAUGCCGGCUCACUGUGCUGCAUACAAUUACACACUGCGUCGUACGAUUGAGACAAGGAAACCUGGAAUGACUUUUCAUAGGUUUCCCAGAGACUAUGGGUUGAGGAGAAAUUGGAAGUUUGUCGGCUUAGACCUGGUGUCAUUCCAUCAGUGUUAAACUUCCCGGCUCAUCUUGGAAGAGUACGUGCCAGAAAGACCACGACCAAGCAGCCUUGAGAGCUUAGGCAGCGUCUCCCUGAGGUUCCUCUCUAUCUCCCCACACAUCCACCAACCACUGGAACACAUCUCCAAAGUUCUGCCGGGCCAGCUCAGCUUCCCCUCAGAAGAAGUGCUGCCACCUGCCAGAUGAAGGAGCCUUUUGAGAGGCGGCUGGCAUCAUGAUUGGACUGUACUUUGGUCUGUUCCAAUCCAGCUUCAGUUCCAGAGACGGCAGGCGGGACGAGUCAACGGAGGCCAGGUGGAUGAAGGCAUGCAACUGAGUACAAUCCAGAAAACAACAGAGGAGGAGUGCAGCGACCCAGGGCCAGAACAAACAGAGUAGCAUCGUAUGUCUGUUAGAAAACAUCAUAGUAUAGUCUUUGCUAUGAAAAAACACCAUCAUAUCCAUCGUAUAUUGUACAAAUAACAAGUCAAAGGAAAGAGACAUACAUUGUAGAAUUGUAGUAAUUGUGGGCUGACUGAUUUACUGAUUAUCAGUAUUUUAUUUUUUACUGAUUUACUGUAAUAAAUACAAUUCAAAAUGGUACUACUUUGGCUCUGAACCUUUAUCUACCUGUGGUCGCUCUGUCUUCUGGAGUGAUUUGAUUGGCUAUACGUCACGAAUAAAACUCCUUUAACGUAACAUCUGUAAACAAAACAAUAAUGUAUCA